GAUGAACGCUGGCGGCGGGCCUAAUACAUGCAAGUCGAGCGAACGGACGGGAAGAGUGCGUUUUUGAGGGUAGCGGGGGACGGGCGAGUAACACGUGGAUAAGCUACCUAUAUGACGGGGGGAACUUCGGGAAACAGGAUACAAUACCAGAGAAUAUUUUGAACCGCAGAGUGCAAGAGAGCAUGAGGGUCUGGCUGACAGUAAGAGACGGUGUCGCGCUAGCUAGUUGGGUGGGUAAGGGCACGCCAAGGCAACGAUACGUAGCAGAUCUGAGAGGGUGAUCGGCCACACUGGAACUGAGACACGGUCCAGACUCCUACGGGAGGCAGCAGUAGGGAAUCUUGGGCAAUGGGCGCAAGCCUGACGCAGCCACGCCGCGUGGGUGAUGAAGGUCUUCGGGUCGUAAAGCUCUUUUGUUAGGGAAGAACAUCUGUGUAUUUAUCUGUGCCUAUUUUGACGGUACCUAAUGAGAAAGCACCGGCUAACUUCGUG
RNAcentral lists this ribosomal RNA (492 nucleotides) under uncultured bacterium. RNAcentral describes it as "partial 16S ribosomal RNA". It matches the Rfam family "Bacterial small subunit ribosomal RNA", at positions 28 to 507 of the family's 1533-position model. The record is from RNAcentral.